UGCCUAUACCGGGCCGCCGGUCGGCAGAGCGAUAAACGCGGAUAUUGUACCCGAGCUGAGCUCCCGGCGAGCAGGGGGGGCGCGACGGUGCGCGCCGAAGGGUUGGGAGGGCGAGGCUGCCCGGACCCGCCGCCGCCGCAGAUCUUGGGGAUAUUAGCGAAUACUCCAGAGACAUCCUGGAGGACUGGCGCGAAUAAGGGUUUCAUGUGAUCAGUGGGUGGACAUGAGGCACAUGAUCCUAACCCGCCUAAGAAAUCCGACCUAUCGUACCGAUGGGACGUACGAAACAAACUUAACUUUUUUUUUUUUUUUCUCUCCCAAAAGAAAAAAAAAACUUAACCUAUAACGAUGCACCACUGGGUCAAGGCGAAAGGGAAUCCGGUCCUAAUUCCGGAACCAGGCUGCGGCUACGUCCGAUUGUCUAUCAAACGAUCUAAACCCUCGUUUCGAAAAACUUUCGGUCGCGGUAACGCGACACAAACCGGAGAAGCUGUCGAGAACCCCGGGAAGAGUUUUCUUUUCUGCUUGAGGGACCGAGACCCUGGAAUUCCGUCGCGGAGCGAGAGGGUUUUGGCACGACACGCUGGUAACAAGGCGAUCCCGAAGAGCGGCGCGUUUCCGCGCCGUCCGUGGUCGUUCUCGACUGGCCCUUGAAAAUCCGGUGGGAGGGUUACGUUUUUUGGACGUUCGCGCCUGAUCGUACCGAUAUCCGCAUCAGGUCUCCUAGGUGAACAGCCUCUAGUCGAUAGAAGAAUGUAGGUAA
RNAcentral lists this ribosomal RNA (763 nucleotides) under Latonopsis occidentalis. Its description in RNAcentral is "partial 28S ribosomal RNA". It matches the Rfam family "Eukaryotic large subunit ribosomal RNA", at positions 1339 to 1907 of the family's 3401-position model. The record is from RNAcentral. Lineage: Eukaryota; Metazoa; Arthropoda; Branchiopoda; Diplostraca; Sididae.